AGUAAUGAAAUUAUUUAUAAAUAAAUAAAAGAAAACAUGUUAAUUAAAAAGCAAUAUAAAUAUAUUUUUGGAAAAACUUCAAAAACAUCUCAUGUGGUUUCGCACUUUUUCAUUUUAGUACCCUAUGGUUUAAAGUAAAUCAAGUUAGUACUCUGUGGUUUCUCAUUUUAUCACUUUAGUACCCUGUGAUUUAAAGUGUAUCAAAUUAGUACUUUGUAAUUUUAUUUUUGUAUCAAGUUAGUAUCUUGUGGUUUAUUUUUGUAUCAAGUUAGUACCCUGUGGUUUUUAAACCAUAGGAUACUAAAGUGAUAAAGUGCAAAAUUACAGGAUACUAACUUGAUACCCUUUAAACCAUAGGAUACUAGAGUAAAAAAGUGCAAAAUCAUAUUGUACUAACUUGAUAUAUUUUAAAUCACAGAUUACUAAAGUGAGAAAAUGUGAAACUACAGGAGAGUAUUUGAAGUUUUUUCUAUAUUUUUUGAGCAAAUAUGUGGAUCUCAUUCCAAAAAAUCUUCUGAAGCCAUU
This 525-nucleotide long non-coding RNA is filed under the name Ananas comosus (pineapple). Its description in RNAcentral is "long non-coding RNA (ACOM_LNC027416)". The record is from RNAcentral. Lineage: Eukaryota; Viridiplantae; Streptophyta; Magnoliopsida; Poales; Bromeliaceae.